Molecule: ribosomal RNA, 253 nt
Filed under: uncultured bacterium
Lineage: Bacteria
Description: partial 16S ribosomal RNA
Rfam family: Bacterial small subunit ribosomal RNA
Source: RNAcentral
UACGUAGGGGGCAAGCGUUGUCCGGAAUCAUUGGGCGUAAAGAGCGUGUAGGCGGCCUGGUAAGUCCGCUGUGAAAGUCCAGGGCUCAACCCUGGAAUGCCGGUGGAAACUGUCAGGCUCGAGUCCGGAAGAGGCGAGUGGAAUUCCUGGUGUAGCGGUGAAAUGCGCAGAUAUCGGGAGGAACACCAGUGGCGAAGGCGACUACCUGGACCAGCACUGACACUGAGGCACGAAAGCGUGGGGAGCAAACAGG